This 175-nucleotide unclassified non-coding RNA is filed under the name soil metagenome. RNAcentral describes it as "partial internal transcribed spacer 1". The record is from RNAcentral.
CAAGAAGCGCCGAAAGGCUGCUUUACAACCAUAGCGAACCUAUCCUUCAGCGUUGCUUCGGCGGGUCGGCCCGCCCCCUCGGGGCCGGCGCGCUGGCCUCGGCCGCCGCCCGCCGGAGGAUACCGAAACUCUUUACAUUAGUAGCCUCUCUGAGUAUUUACAAUGCAAUAAGUCA